This 2282-nucleotide ribosomal RNA is filed under the name human metagenome. Its description in RNAcentral is "bacterial LSU rRNA". It matches the Rfam family "Bacterial large subunit ribosomal RNA", at positions 14 to 2324 of the family's 2925-position model. The record is from RNAcentral.
AGAGCGUAGGGCGGAUGCCUUGGCACUAAGAGCCGAUGAAGGACGUGAUAAGCUGCGAUAAGCUGCGGGGAAGAGCAAAUAUCUAUUGAUCCGCAGAUUUCCGAAUGGGGAAACCUACUGCAGAAGAGCUGCAGUGACUGUGCGUGAAUCCAUAGCGUACAGCCGGGAACCCGCUGAACUGAAACAUCUAAGUAGGCGGAGGAAGAGAAAACAACAGUGAUUCCGUAAGUAGCGGCGAGCGAACGCGGAAGAGCCCAAACCGCAGUGCGUGCACUGCGGGGUUCGGACUGCACACGGGAAUUGAAUCGUUACCGGAAAGACUUUGGAACAGUCUGCCACAGAGGGUGAAAGCCCCGUACGGGAAAACGAGUCGAGACCCAGCAGGAUCCAGAGUACCACGAGACACGUGAAACCUUGUGGGAAUGCGGGGGGACCACCCCCUAAGGCUAAAUACUACUUAGUGACCGAUAGUGCAUAGUACUGUGAAGGAAAGGUGAAAAGGACCCCGGGAGGGGAGUGAAAAAGAACCUGAAACCCUAUGUUUACAUGCAGUGGAAGUGCGAUACAUGAACGCACAACCGCGUACUUUUUGUAGAACGGUCCGGCGAGUUGCCGGUGCUGGCAAGGUUAAGGACUACAGGUCCGGAGCCGAAGGGAAACCGAGUCUUAAUAGGGCUUACAGUCAGCAUCGGCAGACCCGAAACCGGGUGAUCUAUCCAUGUCCAGGUUGAAGUCCCCGUAAAAGGGGAUGGAGGACCGAACACACAUCCGUUGAAAAGGGUGGUGAUGAGGUGUGGAUAGGGGAGAAAUUCCAAUCGAACCCGGAGAUAGCUGGUUCUCCUCGAAAUAGCUUUAGGGCUAGCCUCGACUUAGUCAGACGGAGGUAGAGCACUGAAUUCCUGAGGGGGCGUCAAAGCCUGCCAAGGGAUAUCAAACUGCGAAUGCCGUCCUGAUGAUGGUCGGGAGUCAGACUGCACGAGAUAAGUUGGGCAGUCAAAAGGGAAAGAGCCCAGACCUACAGCUAAGGUCCCAAAAUACGUGUUAAGUGGAAAAGGAUGUGGGAUUUCGAAGACAGCUAGGAUGUUGGCUUAGAAGCAGCCACACAUUCAAAGAGUGCGUAAUAGCUCACUAGUCGAGAGGUCCUGCGCCGAAAAUUUCCGGGGCUAAAACACGAUACCGAAGCUUAGGAAUGUAGCAAUACAUUGGUAGAGGAGCAAUCUCAGAGUGCCGAAGCGCUACCGCAAGGAAGCGUGGAGUUCUGAGAAGAGAGAAUGCCGGAAUGAGUAGCGAGAAUGAUGUGAGAAUCAUCAUGGCCGAAUAUCCAAGGAUUCCAGGGUAAAGCUGAUCUGCCCUGGGUAAGUCGGGACCUAAGGCGAGGGAGAGAUCCGUAGUCGAUGGACAGCAGGUUCAUAUUCCUGCACCUGACAUGAUCAGAACUGUGGGGACACAGGAACAAAACCGGACCCGGGAGAGCAAAGACCGGGCGAAGCGAAGCUAGGAGUGCGGUAGGCAAAUCCGCCGCACAAUCCGAAAGCGUGAUAGGGAGCGAAAUAUAAGUAGCGAAGCCGGUGGAGGGACUGUCGAGAAAAGCCGCUAUUGUAUCAUGUCAGCCCGUACCGCAAACCGACACAGGUGGAUGAGGAGAGAAUCCUAAGGCCGGCGGGAGAAGCAUUGUUAAGGAACUCGGCAAAAUGACCCCGUAACUUCGGGAGAAGGGGUGCCCAGGCAACUGGGCCGCAGAGAAAAGGCUCAAGCAACUGUUUAGCAAAAACACAGGUCUAUGCGAAACCGUAAGGUGAGGUAUAUGGGCUGACGCCUGCCCGGUGCUGGAAGGUUAAGAGGAGAGGUUAGCGCAAGCGAAGCUUUGAAUUGAAGCCCCAGUAAACGGCGGCCGUAACUAUAACGGUCCUAAGGUAGCGAAAUUCCUUGUCGGGUAAGUUCCGACCCGCACGAAAGGCGUAAUGAUUUGAGCGCUGUCUCAACAAUGCACCCGGUGAAAUUGAAGUACCAGUGAAGAUGCUGGUUACCCGCGCCAGGACGGAAAGACCCCAUGGAGCUUUACUCCAGCUUGAUACUGGGAUUCGGUAAUGUAUGCACAGGAUAGGUGGGAGACGAAGAAGAUAGAACUUCGGUUUUAUCAGAGUCGCUGUUGGGAUACCACCCUUAUGUUAUUGGAUUUCUAACCUUAGGCCGUAAGCCGGUCAAGGGACAAUGUCAGGUGGGGAGUUUGACUGGGGCGGUCGCCUCCGAAAGUGUAUCGGAGGCGCUCAAAGGUUCCCUCA